RNAcentral lists this transfer RNA (72 nucleotides) under Ovis aries (sheep). It matches the Rfam family "tRNA". From Rfam's summary of the family: Transfer RNA (tRNA) molecules are approximately 80 nucleotides in length. Their secondary structure includes four short double-helical elements and three loops (D, anti-codon, and T loops). RNAcentral also lists the same sequence under 1 other name. Lineage: Eukaryota; Metazoa; Chordata; Mammalia; Artiodactyla; Bovidae. The record is from Rfam by way of RNAcentral.
UCCCUGGUGGCUCAGAGGUUAAAGCGUCUGCCUCCAAUGCAGGAGACCCGGGUUCGAUCCCAGGGUCGGGAA